GGGGCUUGAUGUCACCGGGGUCUCAAGGCUUCCGAUGAACGGAUCGCCAUUCAGGGGCUGAAUUACUUGAUAAGUUGGCUGCAAUGCAAUAUGUGGACGAGGUUCAACAUGACACCAUCAAAUCAAAAUCCUUAAUCAAAGCCCAAAAUGGCAAAGUGUAAUUAGACAAUUAGCUUUUAAUUCAAUAUCAUUGGUACCAUAAAAAAUAAAGAAGGUGACAUGCUACUACUAUUGGCAAUCUUAACGAGCAAAAAUUAUGGUUCAGUUUUCAUCGAUUUUCCUAUAUUCAAUUGGGUCUUCAUCUUAUAUCAGGAUAAUGUAGAAUACUACAUAGAUAAAGUAAAUAUGGGGAAAAAAAAAAAGGAGCAAAAGAUGAACUUUCUGCUGAUGGGCUCCGAACAAUACUCUCUGAACUUUUUAACCCAUUGAUUUGUUUGCAGGCUAAGAUUAAGAAACCAAGCACAAAAUGAAGAUUCUUUACCUUCUCCGAUUGGAUAGCUUUGAUGGUGAAGCAAGACUUCCUCCUUGAGGGUAAGACUCUGAAUGGAGCUGCAGAGAUGCCCUUUGGGGUAGCCAACCUAGUUGUCAGGGAUGAAGCAAGGCUGCUCUGGAGCUGGCUGGCCAUGG
This 627-nucleotide long non-coding RNA is filed under the name Coffea arabica (coffee). RNAcentral describes it as "long non-coding RNA (CARA_LNC000368)". Lineage: Eukaryota; Viridiplantae; Streptophyta; Magnoliopsida; Gentianales; Rubiaceae. The record is from RNAcentral.